Molecule: ribosomal RNA, 492 nt
Filed under: uncultured bacterium
Lineage: Bacteria
Description: partial 16S ribosomal RNA
Rfam family: Bacterial small subunit ribosomal RNA
Source: RNAcentral
AGUGAACGCUGGCGGUAGGCCUAACACAUGCCAGUCGAACGGCAGCACAGUAAGAGCUUGCUCUUACGGGUGGCGAGUGGCGGACGGGUGAGGAAUACAUCGGAAUCUACUUUUUCGUGGGGGAUAACGUAGGGAAACUUACGCUAAUACCGCAUACGACCUACGGGUGAAAGCAGGGGAUCUUCGGACCUUGCGCGAUUGAAUGAGCCGAUGUCGGAUUAGCUAGUUGGCGGGGUAAAGGCCCACCAAGGCGACGAUCCGUAGCUGGUCUGAGAGGAUGAUCAGCCACACUGGAACUGAGACACGGUCCAGACUCCUACGGGAGGCAGCAGUGGGGAAUAUUGGACAAUGGGCGCAAGCCUGAUCCAGCCAUACCGCGUGGGUAAAGAAGGCCUUCGGGUUGUAAAGCCCUUUUGUUGGGAAAGAAAAGCAGCAGGUUAAUACCCCGCUGUUCUGACGGUACCCAAAGAAUAAGCACCGGCUAACUUCGUG